UACGUAGGUGGCAAGCGUUGUCCGGGUUUACUGGGUGUAAAGGGCGUGCAGCCGGGCUGACAAGUCAGAUGUGAAAUCCCGCGGCUCAACCGCGGAACUGCAUUUGAAACUGUCAGUCUUGAGUACCGGAGAGGUCAUCGGAAUUCCUUGUGUAGCGGUGAAAUGCGUAGAUAUAAGGAAGAACACCAGUGGCGAAGGCGGAUGACUGGACGGCAACUGACGGUGAGGCGCGAAAGCGUGGGGAGCAAACAGG
This 253-nucleotide ribosomal RNA is filed under the name uncultured bacterium. RNAcentral's name for it is "partial 16S ribosomal RNA". It matches the Rfam family "Bacterial small subunit ribosomal RNA", at positions 524 to 776 of the family's 1533-position model. The record is from RNAcentral.